Molecule: long non-coding RNA, 581 nt
Organism: Girardinichthys multiradiatus
Lineage: Eukaryota; Metazoa; Chordata; Actinopteri; Cyprinodontiformes; Goodeidae
Exons: 3
Source: RefSeq, a predicted model, not a curated record
UUGUGUUUGCCUGCUUGGUCGCUAGAUGGUGUUGGAGUUCACAGGUGCAGAGGGGACAGGUGCUUCGUAUUGACUAAUUACCUGGAGGUGUAUUUAGACUGGAAGCUGCCAGCACUUCAAUGCCUGAGUAUUAGCCACCAGUGACCUGGUUGACUUCAAGCUGGUUUCUAGACUCUUCUUAAGGAGCGUUCUCUGACUUCUGGAUAAGGAUUAAAGUCUCCAGUUAUUUCCUCUGGAUCAAGUUCAAGCUGGCAGCUUCCUGGUUCUUCGACUAUCCAGAUGAAGUCAUAAGCUAACCCUGUCCACCCUCCAACCAACUCUCACGCAAGUACCUCCAACCUGUGCUCCACACCAUCAAUCCACUCUCUUCACACAGUCCUGGAUCAGAGCUCCUAAGGAUCUACCUUCGUGCGGCUAACCCCGGAAGGAUCUACCCCCACAGAACUGCUCCUGCAUUGCACUCUCAGACCCCGCAUCUCUCAUCCCUCUGGCGGUCCAUCUUCCUGCACCCAUUGGUGAUUUUUCCGGUCCAGGAUCUCUAACCCAUAUCACUCCCGUGAAAAUAAAACCUUUAAACGUCC